GGCCCAUGCGCCUGCUGCCCGGACUCAAAUCGCCGCUCGCCGGACGCGGCCCUGCCGAUAUCGACAUGGUGUGCGUACGUGAGAACACCGAGGGCGAGUAUUGCGGGGUGGGCGGCUUCGUGCACCGGGGACGCGCGGGCGAAAUGGCCACCGAAGUGGCGACCUUCACGCGCGCCGGGAUCGAGCGCCUGGUCCGCUUCGGUUUCGAGCUCGCCCGCACCCGGCCGAGGAAGAUGGUCGCCUCCGCCACGAAGUCCAACGCUCUCAAGCAUUCGAUGGUGCUUUGGGACGAGGUGGUGGAGGACGUGGCCGCGCAAUUCCCCGACAUCACCCUGCGCAAGUACCACGUGGAUGCCCUCGCCGCGAGGAUGGUGACCCAGCCCGACACCGUCGACGUGAUCGUGGCGAGCAACCUCUUCGGCGACAUCCUCACCGAUCUAGGCGCCGCCAUCUCCGGCUCCCUCGGCACCGCGCCCUCCGGGAACCUCGACCCCACGCGGAAGAAUCCCUCUAUGUUCGAGCCCAUCCACGGCUCCGCGCCCGACAUCGCGGGAAAGGGCAUCGCGAAUCCCAUCGGGGCAGUGUGGGCGGGCGCCAUGAUGCUCGAGCAUCUCGGCGAGAAGCAGGCGGCGCAGCGAGUGGUCCGCGCCAUCGAGAAGGUGACCCUCGAGGGCAAGGUCCGGACCCCCGACCUGGGCGGAUCGGCGACCACCGCCGACAUGACCCGGGCUCUCGUGGAGGCACUCUGAUGGCGCGCCAGAACAUUUCGUCCGGGACCAAGUGGGAACCGGUGGUCGGCUAUUCGCGAGCCGUGCGCGUGGGCCCCUACGUCCACGUGUCGGGCACGACGGCGGUGGACGCUUCGGGCGCCGUGGUCGGAGAAGGUGACGCCUACGCCCAGACGGAGUUCAUCCUGCGCAAGAUCGACGACGCUCUCGGCCAGGCCGGGGCCUCGAUGUCCCAGGUGGUGAGGACGCGGCUGUUCGUCACGGACAUCUCCCGGUUCGAUGAGAUCGCCCGGGCUCACGGCAAGGUCUUCCGGGAGAUCCGGCCCGCCUCCACGAUGGUCGAGGUCAAGGCCCUGGUCGAUCCGGAGAUGCUGAUCGAGAUCGAAGCCGACGCGUACGUGGGCUCGGACUGAGUCCUCCCUCGAUGCGCUCGCGCCGGCUCCGAUUCGUCCUCGGUGCCCUCUUGCUCGGCUUCGUAGUCCUGAACGUGCUCAUCUACGAGCAGGCGCGGGCCAUGACUCGCUUCCUCCCCGGUGGAGCGCGAACCGGGAAGCCGGAGACCCUGAGCUACCUCCAGAAGCUGAGCGUCGUCACCAUGGGCGUGCGUAUCCCGAAGCCCUUGAACGAAGGGACGCCGCUUGAUCGGCACAUGCCCUUCGACACCUGGACCAUUCCCGUGGAGCCCGGGAUCACCCUCGAAGCGUGGGCGGUCCGGCAAGAGAAUCCGAGGGGCGUGGUCGUGCUCUUUCACGGUUACGCGGACCGCAAGUCGUCGGACCUCAGCGAGGCGCGGGCUUUCUUCGACCAGGGUUGGGCGCCCGUGCUCGUCGACCUGCGCGGUAGCGGAGGCUCAUCCGGCGGAACCACGAGCAUCGGUUUUUUCGAGGCGAGCGACGUUUCCGCAGCGGUGCGUUUCACGCGCG
RNAcentral lists this unclassified non-coding RNA (1651 nucleotides) under uncultured fungus. RNAcentral's name for it is "sequence contains 18S rRNA gene, ITS1, 5.8S rRNA gene, ITS2, 28S rRNA gene". Lineage: Eukaryota; Fungi. The record is from RNAcentral.